This 460-nucleotide ribosomal RNA is filed under the name uncultured bacterium. Its description in RNAcentral is "partial 16S ribosomal RNA". It matches the Rfam family "Bacterial small subunit ribosomal RNA", at positions 338 to 795 of the family's 1533-position model. The record is from RNAcentral.
CCUACGGGAGGCAGCAGUGAGGAAUAUUGGUCAAUGGACGGAAGCCUGAACCAGCCAAGCCGCGUGCAGGAUGAAGGCUCUAUGAUUUGUAAACUUCUUUUGUAUGGGAAUAAACUUAAAAACGUGUUCCUUUUUGUAUGUACCAUAUGAAUAAGCAUCGGCUAACUCCGUGCCAGCAGCCGCGGUAAUACGGAGGAUCCGAGCGUUAUCCGGAUUUAUUGGGUUUAAAGGGUGCGUAGGUGGUUAAUUAAGUCAGUUGUGAAAGUUUGUGGCUCAACCAUAAAAUUGCAGUUGAAACUGGUUGACUUGAGUACAUUAGAGGUAGGCGGAAUGCGUGGUGUAGCGGUGAAAUGCAUAGAUAUCACGAAGAACUCCGAUUGCGAAGGCAGUUUACUAAACUAUAACUGACACUGAAGCUCGAAAGUGUGGGGAUCAAACAGGAUUAGAUACCCGAGUAGUC